This 253-nucleotide ribosomal RNA is filed under the name uncultured bacterium. RNAcentral's name for it is "partial 16S ribosomal RNA". It matches the Rfam family "Bacterial small subunit ribosomal RNA", at positions 524 to 776 of the family's 1533-position model. The record is from RNAcentral.
UACGAAGGGGGCUAGCGUUGUUCGGAAUUACUGGGCGUAAAGCGCACGUAGGCGGAUAUUUAAGUCAGGGGUGAAAUCUCAGAGCUCAACUCUGGAACUGCCUUUGAUACUGGGUAUCUUGAGUAUGGAAGAGGUUAGUGGAAUUGCGAGUGUAGAGGUGAAAUUCGUAGAUAUUCGCAGGAACACCAGUGGCGAAGGCGGCUCACUGGCCCGGUACUGACGCUGAGGUGCGAAAGCGUGGGGAGCAAACAGG